Molecule: non-coding RNA, 86 nt
Organism: Xylariomycetidae sp. FL0641
Lineage: Eukaryota; Fungi; Ascomycota; Sordariomycetes
Source: the annotation of a GenBank genome assembly
CUCUCAAUAGCUCAGUUGGUUCAGAGCGUUCGGCUGUAAUUGUUACUGACACCGAAAGGUCACUUGUUCGACUCAGGUUUGAGAGA